UGUGAUUUCCAUUUUUACGGUUUUUCAUCAUGAAAAUUGCAGUGUGCUUCUUAGAAAAGAGCACGUAAGAGAUCUUUAAGCCAAUGCUGAUCAUUCUCCAUGACGAAAGAAGGAUUUCCACCGACGUUCGGCUACAUCCUAAUCUUCCCGACGUACGAUCAUCCAGCUUCACUGCUUCAGUGCUUCUCAUGCUGAAAAACAACUUUUCUUGCUUCACUGGCGAGGCUGGAUCACUUCAGUUGC
Daphnia pulex (common water flea) is the source of this 243-nucleotide long non-coding RNA. RefSeq lists it as uncharacterized. NCBI's taxonomy places the organism in Eukaryota, Metazoa, Arthropoda, Branchiopoda, Diplostraca, Daphniidae. The record is from RefSeq and is a predicted model, not a curated record. The transcript is spliced from 2 exons.